RNAcentral lists this ribosomal RNA (426 nucleotides) under uncultured Lactobacillus sp. RNAcentral's name for it is "bacterial SSU rRNA". It matches the Rfam family "Bacterial small subunit ribosomal RNA", at positions 123 to 525 of the family's 1533-position model. Lineage: Bacteria; Bacillati; Bacillota; Bacilli; Lactobacillales; Lactobacillaceae. The record is from RNAcentral.
AACCUGCCCCAUAGUCUGGGAUACCACUUGGAAAACAGGUGCUAAAUACCGGAUAAGAAAGCAGAUCGCAUGAUCAAGCUUUUUAAAAGGCGGCGUAAGCUGUCGCUAUGGGGAUGGGCCCCGCGGUGCAUUAGCUAGUUGGUAAAGGUAAAAGGGCUUACCAAGGCGAUGAUGCAUAGCCGAGUUGAGAGACUGAUCGGCCACAUUGGGACUGAGACACGGCCCAAACUCCUACGGGAGGCAGCAGUAGGGAAUCUUCCACAAUGGACGCAAGUCUGAUGGAGCAACGCCGCGUGAGUGAAGAAGGUUUUCGGAUCGUAAAGCUCUGUUGUUGGUGAAGAAGGAUAGAGGUAGUAACUGGCCUUUAUUUGACGGUAAUCAACCAGAAAGUCACGGGCUAACUACGUGCCAGCAGCCGCGGUAAAU